GGUUACCUACGGGGGGCAGCAGUGAGGAAUAUUGGUCAAUGGGCGAGAGCCUGAACCAGCCAAGUCGCGUGAGGGAGUACUGCCCUAUGGGUUACAAACCUCUUUUGUCGGGGAGCAAAAGCCGGACGUGUCCGGCUGUGAGAGUACCCGAAGAAAAAGCAUCGGCUAACUACGUGCCAGCAGCCGCGGUAAUACGUAGGGGGCAAGCGUUAUCCGGAUUUACUGGGUGUAAAGGGAGCGUAGACGGCAUAGCAAGUCUGAUGUGAAAGAUCGGGGCUCAACCCCGGGCCUGCAUUGGAAACUGU
RNAcentral lists this ribosomal RNA (305 nucleotides) under uncultured bacterium. Its description in RNAcentral is "bacterial SSU rRNA". It matches the Rfam family "Bacterial small subunit ribosomal RNA", at positions 333 to 636 of the family's 1533-position model. The record is from RNAcentral.